AACGAACGCUGGCGGCAUGCCUAACACAUGCAAGUCGAACGAGACCUUCGGGUCUAGUGGCGCACGGGUGCGUAACGCGUGGGAACCUGCCCUUAGGUUCGGAAUAACUCCCCGAAAGGGGUGCUAAUACCGGCUAAUGUCUUCCGACCAAAGAUUUAUCGCCUUUGGGUGGGCCCGCGUUGGCUUAGCUAAUUGGUAGGGUAACAGCCUACAAAGGCGCCGCUCCAUAGCUGGUCUGAGAGGAUGAUCAGCCACACUGGGACAGGGACACGGCCCAGACUCUGGCGGAAGGCAGCAGUGGUGAAUCUUCGACGCCGGGCGAGUGCAGGAUCCAGCAAGGCCGUAUGAGUGAUGAAGGCGUUAGGGUUGUAAAGCUCUUUUACCCGGGAUGAUAAUGCCGGUACCGGGAGAAUAAGCUCCGGCAACUUCCGU
Molecule: ribosomal RNA, 432 nt
Filed under: uncultured bacterium
Lineage: Bacteria
Description: partial 16S ribosomal RNA
Rfam family: Bacterial small subunit ribosomal RNA
Source: RNAcentral